CGAUCUUAUCACGUUGAAACACCGGUUCCCGUACAAUCAUCGAAGUUAAGUAACGUCAAGCCUGGCUAAUACCUAGAUGGGUGACUGCUUAGGAAUACCAGGUACUGUAAG
Molecule: non-coding RNA, 111 nt
Organism: Acanthosepion pharaonis
Lineage: Eukaryota; Metazoa; Mollusca; Cephalopoda; Sepiida; Sepiidae
Source: the annotation of a GenBank genome assembly